GACCCAGUAGCGAAUGGUACUGCGCCCGCGCCGUUUAAGUGCGCUUCCAAGUGCACUGUGGGAGGUCCUGGUUCGACUCCAGGCUGGGUCA
Mycena latifolia is the source of this 91-nucleotide non-coding RNA. NCBI's taxonomy places the organism in Eukaryota, Fungi, Basidiomycota, Agaricomycetes, Agaricales, Mycenaceae. The record is from the annotation of a GenBank genome assembly.